CAUGCACCAGUGGGGUCCCUCGGCCUGGCCUGUGGGAUUGGACUGAAACCGGCUCUCCCACAUCCCCCAUGGGGUCCCAGAUUGCGAGAGGGUGCAGGCCAGGCUGAGGGAUCCCACUGGUGCACA
Molecule: microRNA precursor, 126 nt
Filed under: Myotis lucifugus (little brown bat)
Lineage: Eukaryota; Metazoa; Chordata; Mammalia; Chiroptera; Vespertilionidae
Description: mir-9193 microRNA precursor family
Rfam family: mir-9193 microRNA precursor family
Source: Rfam by way of RNAcentral